GGAGGUAUCAUAGAAUGCCAGCCUGUGAAGCUGAGGAACUGAGUUCAAACCCCAGUACCACCA
Molecule: transfer RNA, 63 nt
Filed under: Dipodomys ordii (Ord's kangaroo rat)
Lineage: Eukaryota; Metazoa; Chordata; Mammalia; Rodentia; Heteromyidae
Rfam family: tRNA
About the family: Transfer RNA (tRNA) molecules are approximately 80 nucleotides in length. Their secondary structure includes four short double-helical elements and three loops (D, anti-codon, and T loops). Further hydrogen bonds mediate the characteristic L-shaped molecular structure. tRNAs have two regions of fundamental functional importance: the anti-codon, which is responsible for specific mRNA codon recognition, and the 3' end, to which the tRNAs corresponding amino acid is attached (by aminoacyl-tRNA synthetases). tRNAs cope with the degeneracy of the genetic code in two manners: having more than one tRNA (with a specific anti-codon) for a particular amino acid; and 'wobble' base-pairing, i.e. permitting non-standard base-pairing at the 3rd anti-codon position.
Source: Rfam by way of RNAcentral